CGCGGAGAUGGAGGAUUUGCUCGACUUGGACGAGGAGCUGCGCUACAGCUUGGCUACCUCCAGGGCCAAGAUGGGUCGCCGAGCUCAACAGGAGUCAGCGCAGGCCGAGAAUCAUCUCAAUGGCAAGAAUUCCUCUUUGACUCUGACUGGAGAGACUUCCUCUCCUAAAUUACCUCGCUGCCGACAGGGAGGCUGGGCAGGUGAUUCCGUGAAGGCUUCGAAGUUUAGGAGGAAGGCUUCUGAAGAAAUAGAAGAUUUUCGCCUCAGACCACAGAGCCUGAAUGGAUCAGAUUAUGGAGGAGAUAUUCCUAUCAUUCCGGAUCUGGAGGAAGUACAGGAAGAAGACUUUGUUUUGCAGGUGGCAGCCCCUCCGAGGUAGGUUAAAUCAGAUAUGAUUGGGGAGGCAAAGAACACGUGAAUUAAUACACUCCAGAUAUCAUCUAUAGUGGACCUUGAUGUCAAUCUGGAUCUUUCUGGUGUUGGGCUCCAUCCAGGGUUCCCAUUUUGUUAUUCCCAUUCUGGUCAUCCCCAGCUGUAUACAAGGUUCUGGGGACGGUGGCCCGGCAGCACUCCUGGAACAGGUCCUGCCUGGGGUUCCCUCCUCUCGCUCUCUCUUUCCUUCAGCAUCCAGAUAAAGCGGGUGAUGACCUACCGUGACCUGGACAAUGACCUCAUGAAGUACUCAGCCAUUCAGACACUGGAUGGGGAGAUCGACCUGAAACUCCUCACCAAAGUGCUCGCGCCGGAGCACGAAGUCCGGGAGGAUGAUGUCGGCUGGGACUGGGACCAUCUGUUCACUGAGGUGUCCUCAGAGGUCCUCACUGAGUGGGACCCACUGCAGACGGAGAAGGAGGACCCUGCAGGGCAGGCCAGGCACACCUGAGCCCGUCACCCAUGCUCUAGACAUGAAGAAAUGCAAUGAGCUUAAAGCUAAAGAAGCUUUCUCUUCUUGGAAAAUGUAUCACAAGUGAAGGAGAACAGCUUUUAAAGCAGCUGAUAGGAACUCAGAACUCGCGGCCUUGUUGCGGAGCAUGUGGGAGAGUUCGAUUCAGGCGGAGAAGGAGUGGGCACUCCUACUGAAAGUUGUUCACUUCUCGGGAGGUUUCAAACAGUUGCCUGCUGGGGUUCUGGGGCGGGGCCUCCCUUCCCGUGGGUGCUCUGGGCCCUUUGUGACCUUAGUGACGCAGCACUGCCACCUGCAUCAUAGGCUUCCAGGCAGCUGCAGCGGAGGGAGGAGGCGGCGGGAGGGAUAAGGAGACCCAUUCUUCACUCGCAUCAGGGUUUGGUGGCUGUUGUGACAAUAUUCUCCUUUCUCCCCUCUUCCUGCAAUCCAUGCCUUGAGCUCCAAAAGCUUCUACAGGUUCCCAGAGCCUCAUUUCUGAUUCUCAUGGGAAGGGGCCAGCCAGCAGCCCUGAGAAUUCCAUGGAAGCCCUCUCUUACAGAGCCUGGGCCUCCCUUCUCCUUAUCCUUUUAGAUACGUCGCAGCCAUCUCCACCGCUGCAAGUAUUAUAACCGCCUGGUUCCAAGAUGUGCUGAGAUCAGGAGCAGAGUCCCACCCUUCUCCUAAACAGAGCUGUCUUUUGUUUUUGUUUUUCUCUUUUCCUCCCUGAGACUUCUUAUCUGAGGACAGAGCCCCUUCGCUGCCUGCUUCUCUUGGAUGCGGCUUUGGGUUAGGCUGGCAGCAGCUAACUAAGGCCCACUCACUCCCCGGCCAUAGGGAGCGCUGAGUGCUUCUGUUAUCCUGCCUGGAAAGCCCUUCAUUAAAAUUC
RNAcentral lists this small RNA (1769 nucleotides) under Pan troglodytes (chimpanzee). RNAcentral describes it as "retained intron". Lineage: Eukaryota; Metazoa; Chordata; Mammalia; Primates; Hominidae. The record is from RNAcentral.